UCAAGGCGAAACGUGUCAUGACAUGCAAUCUUUGUGAAUGAACGAAUAUUUGAACGCACCUUGUACCUGAUCUUUCGAGAAAGGGUAUGUUUGUUUGAGAAGAAUAUAUAUUUUGGUGGAUGAGGCAUAGUUAGUUGUACACGACGACUUGUCUCUAAAUGCUGCUGAACGGCAAAAGUAGGGAUAUGGUGUGAAGCCAUUCUACUUUUACCCUGUUUACACACACACACACUUUAUCUCAAAUCAAACAAGAAGACCCGCUGAACUUAA
RNAcentral lists this unclassified non-coding RNA (270 nucleotides) under uncultured fungus. RNAcentral describes it as "sequence contains ITS1". The stretch from base 1 to 104 matches the Rfam family "5.8S ribosomal RNA", at positions 50 to 154 of the family's 154-position model. Lineage: Eukaryota; Fungi. The record is from RNAcentral.